RNAcentral lists this ribosomal RNA (430 nucleotides) under bacterium. Its description in RNAcentral is "partial 16S ribosomal RNA". It matches the Rfam family "Bacterial small subunit ribosomal RNA", at positions 355 to 776 of the family's 1533-position model. The record is from RNAcentral.
UGGGGAAUAUUGGACAAUGGGCGCAAGCCUGAUCCAGCCAUGCCGCGUGUGUGAAGAAGGCCUUUUGGUUGUAAAGCACUUUAAGCGAGGAGGAGGCUACUUGGAUUAAUACUCUAGGAUAGUGGACGUUACUCGCAGAAUAAGCACCGGCUAACUCUGUGCCAGCAGCCGCGGUAAUACAGAGGGUGCGAGCGUUAAUCGGAUUUACUGGGCGUAAAGCGUGCGUAGGCGGCUUCUUAAGUCGGAUGUGAAAUCCCUGAGCUUAACUUAGGAAUUGCAUUCGAUACUGGGCAGCUAGAGUAUGGGAGAGGAUGGUAGAAUUCCAGGUGUAGCGGUGAAAUGCGUAGAGAUCUGGAGGAAUACCGAUGGCGAAGGCAGCCAUCUGGCCUAAUACUGACGCUGAGGUACGAAAGCAUGGGGAGCAAACAGG